CCUACGGGUGGCAGCAGUGAGGAAUAUUGGUCAAUGGACGAGAGUCUGAACCAGCCAAGUAGCGUGAAGGAUGACUGCCCUAUGGGUUGUAAACUUCUUUUAUAUGGGAAUAAAACGUUCCACGUGUGGGAUUUUGUAUGUACCAUAUGAAUAAGGAUCGGCUAACUCCGUGCCAGCAGCCGCGGUAAUACGGAGAAUCCGAGCGUUAUCCGGAUUUAUUGGGUUUAAAGGGAGCGUAGGUGGAUUGUUAAGUCAGUUGUGAAAGUUUGCGGCUCAACCGUAAAAUUGCAGUUGAAACUGGCAGUCUUGAGUACAGUAGAGGCGGGCGGAAUUCGUGGUGUAGCGGUGAAAUGCUUAGAUAUCACGAAGAACUCCGAUUGCGAAGGCAGUUCACUGGACUGCAACUGACACUGAGGCUCGAAAGUGUGGGUAUCAAACAGGAUUAGAUACCCGAGUAGUC
RNAcentral lists this ribosomal RNA (460 nucleotides) under uncultured bacterium. RNAcentral's name for it is "partial 16S ribosomal RNA". It matches the Rfam family "Bacterial small subunit ribosomal RNA", at positions 338 to 795 of the family's 1533-position model. The record is from RNAcentral.